UUCACCCGGCUCAGCCCUCCUGUAUUGUUAUUCUUCUGUUUUCAGUCAGGGUCUCAAGGCGCCUAAGUCUGAUUUGAACUGUUUCUUCUGCCUCCACUUUCCCAAUGUUGUGACUACUGGGAGGAUGCCGCCAAUCUUGGCUUAUGUUACUUUUCUCUUUCUCCUUCAUACUCUCCCUCCUUCCCACUUUUUUCCUUUCUAUUUUCCCUCCCUCCCUCCUUCCUUUCUUCUUUUUUUUUUGUGUAUAUUGAUUUUACUUAUUUUAUGUCUGAUAAUAUACCAAAUACCUGGAUUUUUUUUUUUUAAACAAGGUAUUACUGUGUAGCCUAGAGCUCACAAACUUAAAACAAUCUUCCCAUCUCAGUCUCCAGAGUCCUGGGGUUACAGGCACGUGUGCCCCACCCUGUUUGUAUAUUACCUGAUAGGCACUCUCUUUCCGUGUUCUCUGCAUGCUUUUUGCUUUUCCUCAUUUUGUUUUUCUCCACUGUGCUGUUGUACUUUCGGUACAUAGUUUUUACUUAUGUAGUUGUUUUGUUUGUCUCCCUCCAUUAGAAUUUGCUCCACAUUAUUAGAGGGUUUGCUUGUUUUAUUCAUUGCUGCUUCUCUUCUGUCUUUCUAAACAACAAAUGUUAUAAAGUGAGUGCUCAAUAAAUAUUUCUUUA
Molecule: long non-coding RNA, 662 nt
Filed under: Rattus norvegicus (Norway rat)
Lineage: Eukaryota; Metazoa; Chordata; Mammalia; Rodentia; Muridae
Description: long non-coding RNA NONRATT021553
Source: RNAcentral